GAUGGACAGGUUGGUAGUACCAAAAGAAAAUAUUGUUUUGAUGCGAAGGAAACUUAUUAGUAGCUCGCAAAUGGCGUUACCAUGUGUGGGUACGGGAACGACAACGUUCAAAGCACUUAUAUAUAUAUAUAUAUAUACUGCUAAACUAAUGUAGAGUUUAAAGAGGAGCAAGGGAUGAUUACGAUGGAAGAGAUUGUUUUUCCGGAAAAACCUGCACUGAAUUCAGCUGUGUGCAAUGUAAUACGCUGCAAAUUGAGCGUUACAUGCAAAUAAUGACAAUGCACCCAGGUUAAGCGUUGAAAACAAAUUCUAGAAGCAUUGCAAAAGCAGCAAAGUUAAAGGCAAUUCAUUGGCAACAUAUGAAGUGGUAUAGGACCUAAUGGGCACUAUUGACAAGGUGUGAGUAUCAUGCUCACCAUCCAAGAAUCACACUCCAGGUAUGAUGGUGAAAUAAUUUAAUUUUUUUUGUAGUUUUUGUUCUAGACUUCAGAAUUUGAUAUAUGGAGUAAUUAUCCGACUAUAAUAAAGUAGCUUGAUUGCAUACAUCAUGUGGAUAAUGACGGAUGCUUGAGGGGGUGGGGGUUGGUGUCCUCACUUCUCAACAUUUUUUUAAAAUCCUUUAGUAUGUAUGGUACCUUAUUACAAUACCUUAUUAAAACAUUUGACCAAUUAUUUAUUUUUGCCCUCCCAAUAAUUUUUUUGAAAAUUUAUUUUAGACUCUAUAAGAAUUUUUAAUUACUUUCGUUUGAAAAAAAAUUCGAAGCGAAUAAAUUUAGUAGAUAUGAAUGACUAAUUAGCCCAUUUAUAGUAUAAAUUCAUUUGUUAGUAACUAAAAAAGUAAAAAACCUUCUAAGCAUUUGGGCUAAAAAGGAAAAACCAGGCUGAAGUUGAUUUUUCUGGAAUAAAUGAGAGUCUAUAUUUAUUUUCAUCAUUUCACUUGUUAGACUAGAGUCUACAACAAUUCAAUAGAACAUUUUCAAAAUCUUGUUUUUUUCUUUUAAUUUUAAAAAUAAAAAAAUCAAUAAUAGACUAAAUAAAAAUAUCAAAUAAAUUGUAUAAUAAAAAAUAAUAAUUUAAGAAACUAUAGUAAAUUAUCGCUUCAUGCAAGUCUUAGACAGACUAAACUUUAAAAUAUUAUAUGCUUCUAUUGGUCAACCGGCCAACCAUCUCCUCUCUUUCAAAGCUUCUUAUGUUUUCCUUAGUUUUGGUUUGUACCCUCCUCCCUAAAGGUUACAAGGUUAAGUCCACCACUUGCAUGGAGAUAGUGAUGCACAUAAGAAAAUUACCUAGUCUACACCCAUCAUAAUGGAACAGAAGGCAGAAGCCGAUGUGCAUUGAUUAUGCAAUCAAGAAAUUAGAUUGCUUGAUUGAUUUUGAUUUGCAGUUCCACUUUAGUGUGCAAGAUAAGAUUUAAGGAGAAAGUUCUAUUUGGUCUUACCUAUUAUGUGUUUAGUUUAUUUCUACUUUCAUCUUUUCUUUGCCUUCAGAUUGUACAGCUGCUGAGAUUUAUUGUAAAAGAAAUGCAAUGAGUGUGCUAAAAAGGCAAUGUGGCUAAUCGAUUGCAGAGAGCAAAUCGUUUCCUUCCCUUUCAAUAUUUUCGCGUUAGGUCGUUCCCUUGAUUGCUAUUUUUCAUCAAGGAUGUAUUUUUUCCAGCUUUUAAAUUCACGCUGUAUGUGAAUCAAGGUGUUCUAGUAUUUUAUGAAUCCUUAUGAUGGCAAAUGUAAAUAAAAUGCUCUAUUUUGAUUUA
Non-coding RNA from Jatropha curcas, 1747 nucleotides. NCBI's taxonomy places the organism in Eukaryota, Viridiplantae, Streptophyta, Magnoliopsida, Malpighiales, Euphorbiaceae. The record is from RefSeq and is a predicted model, not a curated record.